CCCCAGACAGCCCUAGGGUGCUGAACAGACAGCCUGGCACCCUGAUGAGCUUGUCCCUUCUGAGAUUACUGUAGUUUAGAGUAUAUUUGUCAGCAUGAUUUUUGGGCCUAGGUGCUGGAGAUGAACAGGAGCCUUCAGCAGAAAGUCAAAAUGCUUCCUUCGAAUCCUGCUGAAUGAUAAUGUUCCAGGGAGACCAGCACUUGAAAACAAAAGUGACUACUCUUUUGUCCUAAUCUUAAGUCCCAUCACCUUGGCUGGAAGCUCUCAGUUCUGGUAAUGAGUGUUGAGAGGCAAUCUGAGGAUAGUAAUUAGGUAUUAAACCUAGAUGGGUACUAA
Herpailurus yagouaroundi (jaguarundi) is the source of this 336-nucleotide long non-coding RNA. RefSeq lists it as uncharacterized. The record is from RefSeq and is a predicted model, not a curated record. NCBI's taxonomy places the organism in Eukaryota, Metazoa, Chordata, Mammalia, Carnivora, Felidae. The transcript has 2 exons.